Acanthosepion pharaonis is the source of this 93-nucleotide non-coding RNA. NCBI's taxonomy places the organism in Eukaryota, Metazoa, Mollusca, Cephalopoda, Sepiida, Sepiidae. The record is from the annotation of a GenBank genome assembly.
GAUGAAACCCCAUUUCCCUUGCGAUCAUCGAAGUUAAGCAACGUCAAGCCUGGUUUGUACCCAGAUGGGUGUCUGCUUGGGAAUACCAGGUUA